RNAcentral lists this ribosomal RNA (497 nucleotides) under uncultured bacterium. Its description in RNAcentral is "partial 16S ribosomal RNA". It matches the Rfam family "Bacterial small subunit ribosomal RNA", at positions 28 to 507 of the family's 1533-position model. The record is from RNAcentral.
GAUGAACGCUGGCGGCGUGCCUAAUACAUGCAAGUCGAGCGAACGGACGAGAAGCUUGCUUCUCUGAUGUUAGCGGCGGACGUGUGAGUAACACGUGGAUAACCUACCUAUAAGACUGGGAUAACUUCGGGAAACCGGAGCUAAUACCGGAUAAUAUUUUGAACCGCAUGGUUCAAAAGUGAAAGACGGUCUUGCUGUCACUUAUAGAUGGAUCCGCGCUGCAUUAGCUAUUUGGUAAGGUAACGGCUUACCAAGGCAACGAUGCAUAGCCGACCUGAGAGGGUGAUCGGCGACACUGGAACUGAGACGCGGUCCAGACUCCUACGGGAGGCAGCAGUAGGGAAUCUUGCGCAAUGGGCGAAAGCCUGACGGAGCAACGCCGCGUGAGUGAUGAAGGUCUUCGGAUCGUAAAACUCUGUUAGUAGGGAAGAACAUAUGUGUAAGUAACUGUGCACAUCUUGACGGUACCUAAUCAGAAAGCCACGGCUAACUACGUG